GAUGAACGCUGGCGGCGUGCCUAAUACAUGCAAGUCGAGCGAACAGACGAGGAGCUUGCUCCUCUAACGUUAGCGGCGGACGGGUGAGUAACACGUGGAUAACCUACCUAUAAGACUGGGAUAACUUCGGGAAACCGGAGCUAAUACCGGAUAAUAUAUUGAACCGCAUGGUUCAAUAGUGAAAGACGGUUUUGCUGUCACUUAUAGAUGGAUCCGCGCCGCAUUAGCUUGUUGGUAAGGUAACAGCUUACCAAGGCAACGAUGCGUAGCCGACCUGAGAGGGUGAUCGGCCACACUGGAACUGAGACACGGUCCAGACUCCUACGGGAGGCAGCAGUAGGGAAUCUUCCGCAAUGGGCGAAAGCCUGACGGAGCAACGCCGCGUGAGUGAUGAAGGUCUUCGGAUCGUAAAACUCUGUUAUUAGGGAAGAACAAAUGUGUAAGUAACUAUGCACGUCUUGACGGUACCUAAUCAGAAAGCCACGGCUAACUACGUG
RNAcentral lists this ribosomal RNA (497 nucleotides) under uncultured bacterium. RNAcentral's name for it is "partial 16S ribosomal RNA". It matches the Rfam family "Bacterial small subunit ribosomal RNA", at positions 28 to 507 of the family's 1533-position model. The record is from RNAcentral.